AGAGUUUGAUCCUGGCUCAGGAUGAACGCUGGCGGCGUGCCUAAUACAUGCAAGUCGAGCGAACAGACGAGGAGCUUGCUCCUUUGACGUUAGCGGCGGACGGGUGAGUAACACGUGGAUAACCUACCUAUAAGACUGGGAUAACUUCGGGAAACCGGAGCUAAUACCGGAUAACAUGUUGAACCGCAUGGUUCAACAGUGAAAGACGGUCUUGCUGUCACUUAUAGAUGGAUCCGCGCCGCAUUAGCUAGUUGGUAAGGUAACGGCUUACCAAGGCAACGAUGCGUAGCCGACCUGAGAGGGUGAUCGGCCACACUGGAACUGAGACACGGUCCAGACUCCUACGGGAGGCAGCAGUAGGGAAUCUUCCGCAAUGGGCGAAAGCCUGACGGAGCAACGCCGCGUGAGUGAAGAAGGUCUUCGGAUCGUAAAACUCUGUUAUUAGGGAAGAACAAAUGUGUAAGUAACUAUGCACGUCUUGACGGUACCUAAUCAGAAAGCCACGGCUAACUACGUGCCAGCAGCCGCGGUAAUACGUAGGUGGCAAGCGUUAUCCGGAAUUAUUGGGCGUAAAGCGCGCGUAGGCGGUUUUUUAAGUCUGAUGUGAAAGCCCACGGCUCAACCGUGGAGGGUCAUUGGAAACUGGAAAACUUGAGUGCAGAAGAGGAAAGUGGAAUUCCAUGUGUAGCGGUGAAAUGCGCAGAGAUAUGGAGGAACACCAGUGGCGAAAGCGACUUUCUGGUCUGUAACUGACGCUGAUGUGCGAAAGCGUGGGGAUCAAACAGGAUUAGAUACCCUGGUAGUCCACGCCGUAAACGAUGAGUGCUAAGUGUUAGGGGGUUUCCGCCCCUUAGUGCUGCAGCUAACGCAUUAAGCACUCCGCCUGGGGAGUACGACCGCAAGGUUGAAACUCAAAGGAAUUGACGGGGACCCGCACAAGCGGUGGAGCAUGUGGUUUAAUUCGAAGCAACGCGAAGAACCUUACCAAAUCUUGACAUCCUCUGACCCCUCUAGAGAUAGAGUUUUCCCCUUCGGGGGACAGAGUGACAGGUGGUGCAUGGUUGUCGUCAGCUCGUGUCGUGAGAUGUUGGGUUAAGUCCCGCAACGAGCGCAACCCUUAAGCUUAGUUGCCAUCAUUAAGUUGGGCACUCUAAGUUGACUGCCGGUGACAAACCGGAGGAAGGUGGGGAUGACGUCAAAUCAUCAUGCCCCUUAUGAUUUGGGCUACACACGUGCUACAAUGGACAAUACAAAGGGUAGCGAAACCGCGAGGUCAAGCAAAUCCCAUAAAGUUGUUCUCAGUUCGGAUUGUAGUCUGCAACUCGACUACAUGAAGCUGGAAUCGCUAGUAAUCGUAGAUCAGCAUGCUACGGUGAAUACGUUCCCGGGUCUUGUACACACCGCCCGUCACACCACGAGAGUUUGUAACACCCGAAGCCGGUGGAGUAACCUUUUGGGGCUAGCCGUCGAAGGUGGGACAAAUGAUUGGGGUGAAGUCGUAACAAGGUAACC
RNAcentral lists this ribosomal RNA (1512 nucleotides) under Staphylococcus capitis. RNAcentral describes it as "bacterial SSU rRNA". It matches the Rfam family "Bacterial small subunit ribosomal RNA". The record is from RNAcentral. Lineage: Bacteria; Bacillati; Bacillota; Bacilli; Caryophanales; Staphylococcaceae.